AUCAUCCUGAGAUGCUCGUUUGGGAAUCAUAAAAGAACCUACAAAUUGACUUUGGGAAUUCGAGUUUCUGACAGCCUAUGUCAAGCCUCCUCCGAGUGGAAGACAGAAGCGGGAACAGAGCACCCACCUAUCGGGAGAUAGGGCGUCUUUUAUAUCCUGACGGCAUAUUCGGGAUUAUU
RNAcentral lists this non-coding RNA (179 nucleotides) under Clostridiales bacterium. RNAcentral's name for it is "6S RNA". It matches the Rfam family "6S / SsrS RNA". From Rfam's summary of the family: E. coli 6S RNA was the first non coding RNA to be sequenced, but its function was unknown until recently. It consists of 184 nucleotides that fold into an extended hairpin structure with a large single-stranded internal bulge. Lineage: Bacteria; Bacillati; Bacillota; Clostridia; Eubacteriales. The record is from RNAcentral.